CCUACGGGAGGCAGCAGUAGGGAAUAUUGCUCAAUGGGGGAAACCCUGAAGCAGCAACGCCGCGUGGAGGAUGAAGGUUUUCGGAUUGUAAACUCCUUUUGUUAGAGAAGAUAAUGACGGUAUCUAACGAAUAAGCACCGGCUAACUCCGUGCCAGCAGCCGCGGUAAUACGGAGGGUGCAAGCGUUAAUCGGAAUCAUUGGGCGUAAAGAGCGCGUAGGCGGGAUAGCAAGUCAGAUGUGAAAGCCUAUGGCUUAACCAUAGAACUGCAUUUGAAACUGUUAUGCUAGAGUAUGGGAGAGGUAGGUGGAAUUCUUGGUGUAGGGGUAAAAUGCGUAGAGAUCAAGAGGAAUACUCAUUGCGAAGGCGACCUGCUAGAACAUAACUGACGCUGAUGCGCGAAAGCGUGGGGAGCAAACAGGAUUAGAUACCCCAGUAGUC
RNAcentral lists this ribosomal RNA (440 nucleotides) under uncultured bacterium. RNAcentral's name for it is "partial 16S ribosomal RNA". It matches the Rfam family "Bacterial small subunit ribosomal RNA", at positions 338 to 795 of the family's 1533-position model. The record is from RNAcentral.